GACGAACGCUGGCGGCGUGCUUAACACAUGCAAGUCGAACGGAAAGGCCCUGCUUUUGUGGGGUGCUCGAGUGGCGAACGGGUGAGUAACACGUGAGUAACCUGCCCUUGACUUUGGGAUAACUUCAGGAAACUGGGGCUAAUACCGGAUAGGAGCUCCUGCUGCAUGGUGGGGGUUGGAAAGUUUCGGCGGUUGGGGAUGGACUCGCGGCUUAUCAGCUUGUUGGUGGGGUAGUGGCUUACCAAGGCUUUGACGGGUAGCCGGCCUGAGAGGGUGACCGGCCACAUUGGGACUGAGAUACGGCCCAGACUCCUACGGGAGGCAGCAGUGGGGAAUAUUGCACAAUGGGCGGAAGCCUGAUGCAGCAACGCCGCGUGCGGGAUGACGGCCUUCGGGUUGUAAACCGCUUUCGCCUGUGACGAAGCGUGAGUGACGGUAAUGGGUAAAGAAGCACCGACUAACUACGU
This 467-nucleotide ribosomal RNA is filed under the name uncultured bacterium. RNAcentral's name for it is "partial 16S ribosomal RNA". It matches the Rfam family "Bacterial small subunit ribosomal RNA", at positions 28 to 506 of the family's 1533-position model. The record is from RNAcentral.